Molecule: ribosomal RNA, 323 nt
Filed under: Allapsidae sp.
Lineage: Eukaryota; Cercozoa; Glissomonadida; Viridiraptoridae
Description: SSU rRNA
Rfam family: Eukaryotic small subunit ribosomal RNA (bases 60-323)
Source: RNAcentral
GAUUUCUGGUAUGACGCGCCUAGCCCGCCACGGUUACGUGUGUGAGUGCAGGGUCGGGUCUACCAUCCUUCCAGUGUUGCUAUUCUACUCUUCACUGAGCCGGAGUAGUGAGCUGGAUCUUUUACUUUGAAAAAAUUAGAGUGUUUAAAGCAGGCGUUUGCUAUGAAUACAUUAGCAUGGAAUAAUAAUUUAGGACUUUGGUUCUAUUUUGUUGGUUUCUAGGAUUGAAGUAAUGAUUGAUAGGGAUAGUUGGGGGUGCUAGUAUUCAGUGGCCAGAGGUGAAAUUCUCGGAUUCACUGAAGACUAACUUAUGCGAAAGCAUU